RNAcentral lists this ribosomal RNA (1586 nucleotides) under subsurface metagenome. RNAcentral describes it as "bacterial SSU rRNA". It matches the Rfam family "Bacterial small subunit ribosomal RNA". The record is from RNAcentral.
ACUGACGAUUGACGACAUGCAUUUGUUGUUGGUUGUUUGUUGUGAGUCAUGAGUUACUCGUGCUAUAUGCCAGAUCAGUGGCGAACGAGUCAGUAACACCUUAGUACAUACCUCGAAGUGGGGCAUAGCUAGCCGAAAGGUUAGGUAAUUCCCCAUACGCUCGUAAGAGGAAAGUCGUAAGACGCUUUGAGAUUGGCUUAGGUCCGAUCAGCUAGUUGGUGAGGUAAUGGCUCACCAAGGCUAUGACCGGUAGGGGGGCUGAGAGGCUGAUCCCCGACGACGAGACUGAGACACGGCUCGUACACCUACGGGUGGCAGCAGUCGAGAAUAUUCCACAAUGGGCGAAAGCCUGAUGGAGCGACGCCGCGUGGAGGAUGAAGGCCUUCGGGUUGUAAACUCCUUUUCUGUGGGAAGAAAUCCCGUUUAUCGGGACUGACGGUACCAUAGGAAUAAGAGGUUGCUAACUCUGUGCCAGCAGCAGCGGUAAUACAGAGACCUCGAGCGUUAUCCGGAUUUACUGGGCGUAAAGGGUCCGCAGGUGGUUUUGUAAGUCUUCGGUUAAAUCCUUGAGCUCAACUCGAGGACCGCCGAGGAAACUAUAAGACUAGAGACUGGGAGAGGCAAGCGGAAUUGCCGGUGUAGUAGUAAAAUGCGUUAAUAUCGGCAAGAACACCAAAUGCGAAGGCAGCUUGCUAGAACAGUUCUGACACUCAGGGACGAAAGCGUGGGUAGCGAUACGGAUUAGAUACCCGUGUAGUCCACGCCCUAAACGAUGGGUACUGGGCAUUGGAAGUAUCGACCCUUUCAGUGCCGCACAUCAAAGCUAACGCGUUAAGUACCCCGCCUGGGGAGUACGGCCGCAAGGCUAAAACUCAAAGGAAUUGACGGGAACCCGCACAAGCGGUGGAGCAUGUGGUUCAAUUCGACAAUAAGCGUGGAACCUUACCAGGGCUUGACAUGCUAGAAGUAUUCUCCCGGAAACGGGAGAGGACCGUUAAAUCGGAUUCUAGCACAGGUGCUGCAUGGUUGUCGUCAGCUCGUGUCGUGAGAUGUUCCGUUAAGUCGGGAAACGAGCGCAACCCUCACGGCCAGUUAAUUUUUCUGGCCGAACUGCCCCGCACUGAGCGCAUUUAUGCGCAGUUAAAAGUUUUUAAAGUUCAUAAAGUUUAUAAAGUUCAAAAACCUUAUAAACCUUAUAAUUUUAUAACUUUAUAAACUGAAGCAAGAAGUGCGUUGAGUGCGGGGAGGAAGGUGAGGAUGACGUCAAAUCAGCAUGGCCCUUUGAUGCCCUGGGCUACACACAUGCUACAAUGGUCCGUACAAUGGGUUGCCAAGCCGCAAGGCGGAGCUAAUCCCAUCAAAACGGGCCCCAGUUCAGAUUGGGGGCUGCAACUUGCCCCCAUGAAGUCGGAAUCGCUAGUAAUCGCGGAUCAGCAUGCCGCGGUGAAUACGUUCUCGAGUCCUGUACUCACCGCCCGUCACACCAAGGGAGCCGGGAGUGGGUGAAAACUCCAACAGGGGUUUAGCCUAAGCUCGGUGACACGGGUGAAGUCGUAACAAGGCACGGGUAGCGGAAGCUGCUCGUG